UCCUGAUGCUUUAUAGUUUGUUCCCGAUCUGGUAAGGGCUAUUCUAGAUAAAAAGUGUUUACGUUGUAGUGUAAUUUGGCAGUCUAGUAUAGUAAUGAAAUAUUAACCGGUUAUCAAAAUAUCUGGUUCCACAGUAAAUAGAAUAUUCUAGUUAGGUUCAAACUUUUAAGAUUAGUUAAGAGUUGUUUUCACCUUUUAGUAAAAAUCUGUGAACUUUUGUUUGCUUUAAAGGUAAGUAAUAUAGUUUGUUAUAACAAGUAGUUCGGGGGUAAAGAUUUAUACACAAAUUGGGCAGCUAUUGUGGUGGUGGAUAAAAAAACAUAAUUUGAGUUAAAAAUGAUAAAAUUAGUAUGUUCAUUCGUAAGAGUAAAAUAAAUUAAAAACAGUAAAAAUAAUAUAAAAAAAGAUUGUUACAAAUAACUCGGCAAAAUUUGUUCUAAAAUGUUUAACAAAAACAUUUCCUUGUUUGUAGAAGGUAAGUCCUGCCCCGUGUUUAUAAACGGCUGCGGUAUCCUGACCGUACGAAGGUAGCAUAAUAAAUAGUCUUUUAAUUGGGGACCCGUAUGAAUGGAUUAAUUAAGAAUAAACUUUUUUGUAAUAAACAGCAGAAUUUUAUUAUCAAGUAAAAAGGCUUGGUUGCGGCAGAGUGACAAGAAGACCCUAAGAGUUUUACAAAGUCAGGUUCAAAAUAUGUUGUGUGUAAUGAUAGUUGAGCAUUUCUUUGUUUAACUAGGGCGGUUUAAAUAUUACCUAUUUCGUUGAUAACUUUAAUAAAAGGAGUUUUUACAAGUGUAUCCUCAAUCGGAAACCAAAAUAAAUUACCUUAAGGAUAACAGCAUAAUCUUUUUUGAGAGACCAUAUUGACAAAAAGGUUUGUGACCUCGAUGUUGGAUUUGAAUAACUUUUAGGAGCAGCAUUUAUAAAAGUUGUCUGUUCGACCAUUAAA
This 946-nucleotide ribosomal RNA is filed under the name Melavargula japonica. Its description in RNAcentral is "partial 16S ribosomal RNA". The stretch from base 435 to 583 matches the Rfam family "Archaeal large subunit ribosomal RNA", at positions 1885 to 2088 of the family's 2987-position model. The record is from RNAcentral. Lineage: Eukaryota; Metazoa; Arthropoda; Ostracoda; Myodocopida; Cypridinidae.